RNAcentral lists this transfer RNA (71 nucleotides) under Microspora sp. UTEX LB472. RNAcentral's name for it is "tRNA-Gln". It matches the Rfam family "tRNA". From Rfam's summary of the family: Transfer RNA (tRNA) molecules are approximately 80 nucleotides in length. Their secondary structure includes four short double-helical elements and three loops (D, anti-codon, and T loops). The record is from RNAcentral. Lineage: Eukaryota; Viridiplantae; Chlorophyta; Chlorophyceae; Microsporaceae.
UGGGGCGUCGCCAAGUGGUAAGGCAGCGGUUUUUGGUACCGCCAUUCGCAGGUUCGAAUCCUUCCGCCCCA